RNAcentral lists this ribosomal RNA (271 nucleotides) under Rhizophagus intraradices. The record is from RNAcentral. Lineage: Eukaryota; Fungi; Glomeromycota; Glomeromycetes; Glomerales; Glomeraceae.
CAGUCGUACCGGCGGAUAAUCAGCCUUUCGGGUGCGAUUCUGUGGGGCGUGAGGAGCUUAACCGCCUUCAUGUUUUACGUAUUCGUGCUCUUGGGUGUACUUGCCCGUGUGGUGGGUUAACAUCAAUUUCGGUCGUCAUAAAAUGAUUGGAGGAAUGUAGCUUUGGUCUCGUAUCGAAGUGUUAUAGACUCUGGUAGAUGUGACGGUUGGGAUUGGAGGAUUGCAACGGAUACCCGUUCGGGGCCUACCCGGUCUGAUCUCUGAAGGUUGC